RNAcentral lists this ribosomal RNA (1554 nucleotides) under Escherichia coli. RNAcentral's name for it is "bacterial SSU rRNA". It matches the Rfam family "Bacterial small subunit ribosomal RNA". Lineage: Bacteria; Pseudomonadati; Pseudomonadota; Gammaproteobacteria; Enterobacterales; Enterobacteriaceae. The record is from RNAcentral.
AAAUUGAAGAGUUUGAUCAUGGCUCAGAUUGAACGCUGGCGGCAGGCCUAACACAUGCAAGUCGAACGGUAACAGGAAGAAGCUUGCUUCUUUGCUGACGAGUGGCGGACGGGUGAGUAAUGUCUGGGAAACUGCCUGAUGGAGGGGGAUAACUACUGGAAACGGUAGCUAAUACCGCAUAACGUCGCAAGACCAAAGAGGGGGACCUUCAGGCCUCUUGCCAUCGGAUGUGCCCAGAUGGGAUUAGCUAGUAGGUGGGGUAAUGGCUCACCUAGGCGACGAUCCCUAGCUGGUCUGAGAGGAUGACCAGCCACACUGGAACUGAGACACGGUCCAGACUCCUACGGGAGGCAGCAGUGGGGAAUAUUGCACAAUGGGCGCAAGCCUGAUGCAGCCAUGCCGCGUGUAUGAAGAAGGCCUUCGGGUUGUAAAGUACUUUCAGCGGGGAGGAAGGGAGUAAAGUUAAUACCUUUGCUCAUUGACGUUACCCGCAGAAGAAGCACCGGCUAACUCCGUGCCAGCAGCCGCGGUAAUACGGAGGGUGCAAGCGUUAAUCGGAAUUACUGGGCGUAAAGCGCACGCAGGCGGUUUGUUAAGUCAGAUGUGAAAUCCCCGGGCUCAACCUGGGAACUGCAUCUGAUACUGGCAAGCUUGAGUCUCGUAGAGGGGGGUAGAAUUCCAGGUGUAGCGGUGAAAUGCGUAGAGAUCUGGAGGAAUACCGGUGGCGAAGGCGGCCCCCUGGACGAAGACUGACGCUCAGGUGCGAAAGCGUGGGGAGCAAACAGGAUUAGAUACCCUGGUAGUCCACGCCGUAAACGAUGUCGACUUGGAGGUUGUGCCCUUGAGGCGUGGCUUCCGGAGCUAACGCGUUAAGUCGACCGCCUGGGGAGUACGGCCGCAAGGUUAAAACUCAAAUGAAUUGACGGGGGCCCGCACAAGCGGUGGAGCAUGUGGUUUAAUUCGAUGCAACGCGAAGAACCUUACCUGGUCUUGACAUCCACGGAAGUUUUCAGAGAUGAGAAUGUGCCUUCGGGAACCGUGAGACAGGUGCUGCAUGGCUGUCGUCAGCUCGUGUUGUGAAAUGUUGGGUUAAGUCCCGCAACGAGCGCAACCCUUAUCCUUUGUUGCCAGCGGUCCGGCCGGGAACUCAAAGGAGACUGCCAGUGAUAAACUGGAGGAAGGUGGGGAUGACGUCAAGUCAUCAUGGCCCUUACGACCAGGGCUACACACGUGCUACAAUGGCGCAUACAAAGAGAAGCGACCUCGCGAGAGCAAGCGGACCUCAUAAAGUGCGUCGUAGUCCGGAUUGGAGUCUGCAACUCGACUCCAUGAAGUCGGAAUCGCUAGUAAUCGUGGAUCAGAAUGCCACGGUGAAUACGUUCCCGGGCCUUGUACACACCGCCCGUCACACCAUGGGAGUGGGUUGCAAAAGAAGUAGGUAGCUUAACCUUCGGGAGGGCGCUUACCACUUUGUGAUUCAUGACUGGGGUGAAGUCGUAACAAGGUAACCGUAGGGGAACCUGCGGUUGGAUCACCUCCUUACCUUAAAGAAGC